This 253-nucleotide ribosomal RNA is filed under the name uncultured bacterium. Its description in RNAcentral is "partial 16S ribosomal RNA". It matches the Rfam family "Bacterial small subunit ribosomal RNA", at positions 524 to 776 of the family's 1533-position model. The record is from RNAcentral.
UACGGGGGGAGCAAGCGUUGUUCGGAUUUACUGGGCGUAAAGGGCGCGUAGGCGGCGCAACAAGUCACUUGUGAAAUCUCCGGGCUUAACCCGGAGCGGCCAGGUGAUACUGUCGUGCUAGAGUGCGGAAGGGGCUACUGGAAUUCUCGGUGUAGCGGUGAAAUGCGUAGAUAUCGAGAGGAACACCUGCGGCGAAGGCGGGUAGCUGGGCCGACACUGACGCUGAGGCGCGAAAGCCAGGGGAGCGAACGGG